UGGAGGUGACUCCGAGGUGGGUGGGAUGUGGGAAUGCCGGAGGGAUCGGGAUCAUUGGGAAGGGCUGGAUCCAUGGGAUGAGGUGGGUGGGAUGUGGGAAUGCCGGAGGGAUCGGGAUCAUCGGGAAGGGCUGGAUCCAUGGGAUGAGGGCGAUGGUGUGAAGGUCCCCAAGGCUGAGUGCCGGCUCC
Long non-coding RNA from Corvus hawaiiensis (hawaiian crow), 188 nucleotides. RefSeq lists it as uncharacterized. The record is from RefSeq and is a predicted model, not a curated record. The transcript has 3 exons. Lineage: Eukaryota; Metazoa; Chordata; Aves; Passeriformes; Corvidae.